Molecule: ribosomal RNA, 233 nt
Filed under: uncultured Lactobacillus sp.
Lineage: Bacteria; Bacillati; Bacillota; Bacilli; Lactobacillales; Lactobacillaceae
Description: partial 16S ribosomal RNA
Rfam family: Bacterial small subunit ribosomal RNA
Source: RNAcentral
GCCCAAGAGAUCGGGAUAACACCUGGAAACAGAUGCUAAUACCGGAUAACAACAGAUGAUGCCUAUCAACUGUUUAAAAGAUGGUUCUGCUAUCACUCUUGGAUGGACCUGCGGUGCAUUAGCUAGUUGGUAGGGUAACGGCCUACCAAGGCGAUGAUGCAUAGCCGAGUUGAGAGACUGAUCGGCCACAUUGGGACUGAGACACGGCCCAAACUCCUCGGGAGGCAGCAGCA